CGGGGUGCACCAGGCGCGAAAACUUUACAAUGCGGGAAACCGUGAUAAGGGGACACCGAGUGCCAGCAUCAUAUGCUGGCUGUCCAGGUGUGUAAAAUACACCUGUUAGCAAGGGCCGGGCAAGACCGGUGCCAGCCGCCGCGGUAACACCGGCGGCCCGAGUGGUGAUCGUGAUUAUUGGGUCUAAAGGGUCCGUAGCCGGUUUGGUCAGUCCUCCGGGAAAUUUGACAGCUCAACUGUUAGGCUUUCGGGGGAUACUGCCAGACUUGGAACCGGGAGAGGUAAGAGGUACUACAGGGGUAGGAGUGAAAUCUUGUAAUCCCUGUGGGACCACCUGUGGCGAAGGCGUCUUACCAGAACGGGUUCGACGGUGAGGGACGAAAGCUGGGGGCACGAACCGGAUUAGAUACCCGGGUAGUCCCAGCCGUAAACGAUGCUCGCUAGGUGUCAGGCAUGGCGCGACCGUGUCUGGUGCCGCAGGGAAGCCGUGAAGCGAGCCACCUGGGAAGUACGGCCGCAAGGCGGAAACUUAAAGGAAUUGGCGGGGGAGCAC
This 553-nucleotide ribosomal RNA is filed under the name uncultured archaeon. Its description in RNAcentral is "bacterial SSU rRNA". It matches the Rfam family "Archaeal small subunit ribosomal RNA", at positions 326 to 879 of the family's 1478-position model. The record is from RNAcentral.